GAUGUGGAAACGCCUUGCUCCAUCCCGAACCAAGAAGCUAAGCACAUCGUGGGUGAUGAUACUACGCCUUACUGGCAGGGGGAAAGUAGCUCAUUGCGGACU
RNAcentral lists this ribosomal RNA (102 nucleotides) under Campylobacter jejuni. Lineage: Bacteria; Pseudomonadati; Campylobacterota; Epsilonproteobacteria; Campylobacterales; Campylobacteraceae. RNAcentral also lists the same sequence under 2 other names. The record is from RNAcentral.